UAUUUUUAAACAAAGUCAAUCCAAUGCAGCAUUAAAUCCAAAUAGUAAAAACAUUGAAAAAUAUUAUGGCAUCACUUUGUACUAUAUUAUUUUUUAUGUAAUUCAAAUAUAAUAUAUA
This 118-nucleotide small RNA is filed under the name Arabidopsis thaliana (thale cress). RNAcentral's name for it is "ATSL145500". The record is from RNAcentral. Lineage: Eukaryota; Viridiplantae; Streptophyta; Magnoliopsida; Brassicales; Brassicaceae.